This 179-nucleotide ribosomal RNA is filed under the name uncultured bacterium. RNAcentral's name for it is "partial 16S ribosomal RNA". It matches the Rfam family "Bacterial small subunit ribosomal RNA", at positions 1314 to 1500 of the family's 1533-position model. The record is from RNAcentral.
GACUCCAUGAAGCUGGAUUCGCUAGUAAUCGCGCAUCAGCCACGGCGCGGUGAAUACGUUCCCGGGCCUUGUACACACCGCCCGUCAAGCCAUGGAAGCCGGGGGUGCCUGAAGUGCGCUGCCGCAAGGAGCGCCCUAGGGUAAAACCGGUGACUGGGGCUAAGUCGUAACAAGGUAGC